This 382-nucleotide ribosomal RNA is filed under the name uncultured bacterium. Its description in RNAcentral is "bacterial SSU rRNA". It matches the Rfam family "Bacterial small subunit ribosomal RNA", at positions 335 to 708 of the family's 1533-position model. The record is from RNAcentral.
ACUCCUACGGGAGGCAGCAGUGGGGAAUAUUGCACAAUGGGGGAAACCCUGAUGCAGCCAUGCCGCGUGUGUGAAGAAGGCCUUCGGGUUGUAAAGCACUUUCAGUAGGGAGGAAGGUAGUGUAGUUAACACCUGCACUAUUUGACGUUACCUACAGAAGAAGCACCGGCUAACUCCGUGCCAGCAGCCGCGGUAAUACGGAGGGUGCGAGCGUUAAUCGGAAUUACUGGGCGUAAAGCGCAUGCAGGCGGCCUGUUAAGUCAGAUGUGAAAGCCCGGGGGCUUAACCUCGGAAUUGCAUUUGAAACUGGCAGGCUAGAGUCUUGUAGAGGGGGGUAGAAUUUCAGGUGUAGCGGUGAAAUGCGUAGAGAUCUGAAGGAAUA